This 281-nucleotide long non-coding RNA is filed under the name Hordeum vulgare. RNAcentral describes it as "long non-coding RNA (HVUL_LNC016659)". The record is from RNAcentral. Lineage: Eukaryota; Viridiplantae; Streptophyta; Magnoliopsida; Poales; Poaceae.
CGGGAAUUUCUUUGUCGGUUUCUUCAUGUGCUUCUUCUUGGUGGGCUCAAGUGCUGGUGGGUCUGCCAGACCAUGUCUGUGCUGGAUUUUUUUAUCUAUUUUGGGCCAGCCCAAUAUAUAAUUUCUGAAAUUCCUAAUAAAUCUUAGAGGCUCACGCAGCUCAUUUGUGCAAGGCAAGAGGUGGAAAUGUUUAGUCCCACAAUGCUAGUUUAGUGGGAGUUGGACCUCCUUAUAAGGGAGGAUGUUUCCACACAUGUAUGAGCUUGAGAACAAGAGAGACA